GGACAGUAUGGGAGUGAGAAUGUUGGCAUGAGUAGCGAGAUGUGGGUGAGAAUCCCACAGGCCGUAAACCCAAGGUUUCCAGGGGAAGGUUCGUCCGCCCUGGGUUAGUCGGGACCUAAGCUGAGGCCGAAAGGCGUAGGUGAUGGACAACAGGUUGAUAUUCCUGUACUACCGAUAACCGGUUGAGAGAAGGGAUGACACAGUAGGAUAAGCUAAGCACACUGUUGGUUAUGUGUGCCCAAGCAUUGAGGCAGUCAAAGUAGGUAAAUCCGCUUUGAUAAUGCUGGGAUGUGAUGGGGAGCGAAAUUUAGUAGCGAAGUAGCUGAUUUCACACUGUCAAGAAAAG
This 346-nucleotide ribosomal RNA is filed under the name Clostridioides difficile. RNAcentral's name for it is "bacterial LSU rRNA". It matches the Rfam family "Bacterial large subunit ribosomal RNA", at positions 1275 to 1617 of the family's 2925-position model. Lineage: Bacteria; Bacillati; Bacillota; Clostridia; Peptostreptococcales; Peptostreptococcaceae. The record is from RNAcentral.